Molecule: ribosomal RNA, 408 nt
Filed under: bacterium enrichment culture clone ALO1_GLFRUDD03HI1FW
Lineage: Bacteria
Description: bacterial SSU rRNA
Rfam family: Bacterial small subunit ribosomal RNA
Source: RNAcentral
GAGUUUGAUCAUGGCUCAGAUUGAACGCUGGCGGCAGGCCUAACACAUGCAAGUCGAGCGGAUGACGGGAGCUUGCUCCUUGAUUCAGCGGCGGACGGGUGAGUAAUGCCUAGGAAUCUGCCUGGUAGUGGGGGACAACGUUUCGAAAGGAACGCUAAUACCGCAUACGUCCUACGGGAGAAAGCAGGGGACCUUCGGGCCUUGCGCUAUCAGAUGAGCCUAGGUCGGAUUAGCUAGUUGGUGGGUAAUGGCUCACCAAGGCGACGAUCCGUAACUGGUCUGAGAGGAUGAUCAGUCACACUGGAACUGAGACACGGUCCAGACUCCUACGGAGGCAGCAGUGGGGAAUAUUGGACAAUGGCGAAAGCCUGAUCCAGCCAUGCCGCGUGUGUGAAGAAGGUCUUCGGA